AGGACUGUGUGUUGAGUGCAUCACAUCUGUUAUGUCGCUGGGUCCUUCUGCAAACCUGAGAGGCAAACAGCAACUCCAGUUUACAGAUGAGAAAGAUGAAAGCUCCAGAUUCUCCACCCUGGUUUCAGGCAUCUAAUUCUGCCACUUCUUGGGACUGACUAAUGACAAGAAAGAAAUAACACAGGAGACAGAAAGAACACUAAACUUCCAAGAGGAGUAGAGAUAUACCAGGAGUUCAAGAUGCUCAUUCUGAUUCUGGCUAUGACCUGCCAGGAUCUCUUACCCAAAGCGGAUACUAACAUCUGUUGUUUUCACUUGGGAUGCCUCAGAUUUUACAAGCCAUAUUAAUUGUCAAGACUGGACAAGUAACUCACCACGUUUAUCUUUUUGCUAGAUUCCAAAGUUAUGUGGCUGAUAUUAAAGUGUCAGUUCCUUGACCUUUGGAUCCACAGAGGAGCCUCAGAGGAUAUUCCCAGCAUUUGAGAGCAAGCUGUGAAAACUUGGUACUGGAAAGAAACGUUACUUGCAGUUUAAUAGUCUUUGGGGUUAGUGUGGUACUGUUUUAAAAAGUACUUUGUGUUCUUGGAGAUUUAGUUGAACAAAUUUAGAGCACAGUGUAAGUUAAUGUCAUUAUUCCUUAGAAUUACUGAAUUUUUAGUGAUAAGAGGUUUGAAAAUAAGUUAUUUUCCUUGUGAUUCUAUAUUAUUGGACUCCUUAGGUAUAUAUACUUGGGAAAGUGCCCUUAGAAGUGCUCUUUGAUCUGCUGCAGAGAACCCUGUUUUCUCAAGAAUGCCUAGGACUCUGGAGAGUAUUAUUCUAGGGACAUCUUGAUGAAUAGGAAAACAUUUUUACAUCCCUCAAACUUGAACUAAUUAAAAUGAACACAGUUGUGGCUGGGUAAAAGGCAAAUGAAAUUUUAAAUAGUGAUUAACAAAAUCUAUAUUCCAGGGUAAGAAAUGAGUAUGGUCAAGGAAAUGAGGCUUAUCAAGUCUUUCCACUUGCCUCACAAAUCUUCUGUGAAUUAAUAAUCACUGACAUUUUUAUGAAACAAUGUCAUUCUCAGCACAAGUCCCCGCUUUCUGUAUUAUGACCACCUUUAUAAAGGCUUACCUCAAAGUGAGAGGAAUUAAAAAGAAGUCUUCACAGAACUCUUCAAACAAUUACCAGAGGAGCAGCAGAGGGAAACAAGGGCUCAACUUAUUCUGCCCUGAAAUAUUCUGUCAAUUGACAUAAAAGUAAUAUGAGUACAUUGAGAAGAGAAUAUAAAUGCCAUAUAAUUACAGAGAACCCAAACUAGAUGAAUUAUCAGGGAAGACUCUGAACUGGAGAAACAGGCUCUGUGACAGUCAUUACCUUUUAAAAGUCUCUUAUUAGAUUAAGGUAUCACAAUUUGAGUUUUCUACGUCCACUAAGGCCCAGUAAAAACCCAUGAAAAUAGAACAAUGUAAAACUUAUUUGUUCAUUAGUAUAAAAGCAAUUUGAAGCAAAAGUACAUCUCUGCUACAUUUCAUUUUCUAAGAAAGAAUGAUAAACUUGCAUUUGAAGUUUGAAACUCUUUUAGCAAUCAAGAGGAACUUUUCUAUGGUUAAAGAUUCUUUAUUAAUCACAGUGAAUUACACCUUCAACAUUAUCUUCAGUCUCUUCCUAAAUUAGUUUAACCUACUUAGAGAGUCUUUUAGGAUGUCAAUGAUAAAGCAAAUUCUUGAGACUAAAAACAUAGGGUCUUCCUCCAAUGACUUCACUUCUCCAUAUAUACAUAAGAGAUGUUCCAUCUGAUACCCUUGGUUCCAAAAAGAGAAACUUGAACAUCAAAGCAAGUAAAGCAAUUGCCUGCUGAUAUAUUAUGAGUGGUGGUAAUUAUACAAGUAGUAAUAGUAAAAUGAGUGAAUGAUAAAAAUUGAAGAGUCUCCCAACACCUCUGAUAGUGCUUAUGAAAAUAAUCAUAAUGUACAGUGUUUUGGGGCAAAUUUAUAGUUUUUUCUAAACUAGCACCUAUCAAUUUUUUUUAUACUCAGAACACUCUUUGAGGUAUGAAAGUCACAUGCCAUUCCAUGAGUUCAGCAGAUUAAUACAUUUAGGCCAAGAGAAAUAAAAUGACUGGUUAAGAUCAUGGAUUUAACAGCAAUCAGGAUGACAAUCCUGGUGUUCCUGGCUCUGAGUCAGAAUUCUUUCUAUAAUAACAGACAGGUGUUAUGUCUAUCAUCUACCAUCACAGCUCUACCCACAUCUUUAUCUCCAAAGAGGAAGUGCUGGUGGCACUAUGGCAGCAUGUACCUCCAUAAGCAUGUAUAAAUAAAAACCCAUGUGCCCAGAUCCCUUCUUUGAAGAAGCUUGGUGAGCACUGACUGUUUUCUCUUGUUUCUUUUCCCUGAGAACUGUGCCAUGGGUCUACCUUUAAUAGAGCUACACUCUUAUGUGGAAUGGAUACAAAUAUUGGCAAACCAUAUAUCUGAUAAGGGGUUAAUAUCUAAAAUAUAUAAGAAACUCAAACAUGUCAGUGGCAAACAUCAACAAUAAACGAACAACAAGAAACACCUCAUUAAAAAAUGGGCUAAGGAUCCGAAUAGACAAUUCUCAAAAGAAGACAUACAAAUGGCCAAUAGGUAUAUGAAGAUAUGCUCAACAACACUCACUAAUCAUCAGGGAAUGCAAACAACACUCACUAAUCAUCAAAACCACAAUGAGGUAUCAUCUCAUACCUAUUAGAAUGGCUAUUAUCAAAAAGACAAAAGAUAACAAGCAUUGGUAAGAAUGUGGAGAAAAGAAAAUCUUGUACAUUGUUGGUGAGAACGCAAAUUAGUACAGCCUUAUUGAAAACAAUAUGGUGGUUCCUCAAGAAAUUAAAAAGAGAACUACCAUAUAAUCUCACAAUCCCACUUCUGAGUAUAUAUCCAAAGGAAAUGAAAUCAGGAUCUUGAAGAGAUAUCUGCACUCCCAUGUUCAUUUCAUCAUUAUUCAAGAUAUGGAAACAACCUAAGUAUCCAUCAACAGAUGAAUGGAUUUAAAAAGUGAUAUAUAUAUAUGAUAUUCCAUGUACAUAUGGAAUGAAAUAUUAUUCAACCUUAAAAAAGAAGGAAAUCCUGGUAUAUGUGACAAUAUGGAUGAAUCUUGAAGACAUUAUGAUAAGUGAAAUAAGCCAGACACAGAAAGACAAAUACCCCAUGAUCUCACUUAUAAGUGAGAUCUAAAAAAAUCAAGCUCAUAAAAGCAGAGAGUAGAAUGGUGGUUGCCAAGGGCUGUGGGUCGGAAAAUGAGAUGUUGGUAAGAGAGUACAAAGGUUAUUACGCAGGAUGAAUAAGUUCUGAAGAUGUAAUGUACAACUUGGUGACUACAGCCAAUAAUACCAUAUUGUACACUUGAAAGUUGCCAAGAGAGUUGAGCUUAAGUGUUUUUACCACACACACAAAAAUUGUAACUAUGUGAGGUGAUAGAUACAUUAAUUAGCUUGGUUGUUGUAAUCAUUUCAUAAUGUUCAUGUAUAUCAAAACAUCAUUUUGUACACAAUUUUUAUUUGUCAAGUAUACUCAAUAAA
Molecule: long non-coding RNA, 3532 nt
Organism: Globicephala melas (long-finned pilot whale)
Lineage: Eukaryota; Metazoa; Chordata; Mammalia; Artiodactyla; Delphinidae
Source: RefSeq, a predicted model, not a curated record